UUAGAAAAUAAUAUUACCUGUAUGUUUACAAAUAAAAAGUAAAAAACUGGAAGGAUAAGAGUAUUAUUUUUCACCAGAUAAUUGGAAUGAAGGUUUGACAUCCCUGCAACUUCCAACCACCAGUACAGUAGGUUUGACAUCCCUACAACUCUGCAAUUGAAUUCAACAAAAUUAAUAACAUGAUCUGUAAUUAAAUAUUACGCAACUAUGUUGGUGGUGUGGGCAGACUCUCCGAUUUCCAUAAUCAUCACACUCCUUCUCUUCUUCCUCUUGCGAUUUGCUAUUUUUUUCCUCUUUCUGCUACUGCUCUUCUUUCUCUGCGCCGAACUUGUUCACCUCAUAUUCCACUAAUUCUCAUUCAAAAUGGAAUUUCUAGUAGCUAGCAGCAGGAGGCACAUUUCCCAUUACUCGUGAUGAUGAUGGAGGACUUCAGGGGCCUUCUUUUAAUGGACAGUAAGGGUUGAAAUUUUCUGUUGAAAUAAACAAUGUCUGGCCUUUCCUAAACACGCUUUGGUGCAAGUUAAAAGUGUGUUUUGGAACUUCUUUAGAAAUACUCUUAACUUUGUAUCCAAACUGAUUAAAUAUUAGAUUUGCCAAGAAUUCUUUAUUCUGCUUCCAAAAGUGCUCAGGUUGAGAUGAAUCAUACAGUAGUACAUGUUGAUGUAUUGAAACAAACACUAUUCACAACAUAAUUUGAAUAGAACUUUUUCUUUUCUGCUGA
This is a long non-coding RNA of Vigna angularis (adzuki bean), 721 nucleotides long. RefSeq lists it as uncharacterized. NCBI's taxonomy places the organism in Eukaryota, Viridiplantae, Streptophyta, Magnoliopsida, Fabales, Fabaceae. The record is from RefSeq and is a predicted model, not a curated record. The transcript is spliced from 2 exons.